Molecule: long non-coding RNA, 124 nt
Organism: Thalassophryne amazonica
Lineage: Eukaryota; Metazoa; Chordata; Actinopteri; Batrachoidiformes; Batrachoididae
Exons: 3
Source: RefSeq, a predicted model, not a curated record
ACAAAGUGGUAAGGUUAAAACAUGUUGUCAUUUUUAAACAUAUGUUUGACUGUAACAGCAUUAGUUUCUUAAUAAGAAUGUUUGUUAUUGUGUGACAGGUUCAGCAAUUUACAGUUUAGUGAAG